GACGAACGCUGGCGGCGUGCUUAACACAUGCAAGUCGUACGGUAAGGCCCUUUCGGGGGUACACGAGUGGCGAACGGGUGAGUAACACGUGAGUAACCUGCCCGCAACUUUGGGAUAACGCUAGGAAACUGGUGCUAAUACUGGAUAUGUGCUCCUGCUGCAUGGUGGGGGUUGGAAAGCUCCGGCGGUUGUGGAUGGACUCGCGGCCUAUCAGCUUGUUGGUGGGGUAGUGGCCUACCAAGGCGGCGACGGGUAGCCGGCCUGAGAGGGUGACCGGCCACAUUGGGACUGAGAUACGGCCCAGACUCCUACGGGAGGCAGCAGUGGGGAAUAUUGCACAAUGGGCGCAAGCCUGAUGCAGCAACGCCGCGUGCGGGAUGACGGCCUUCGGGUUGUAAACCGCUUUCAGCAGGGACGAAGCUUUUUGUGACGGUACCUGCAGAAGAAGCACCGGCUAACUACGUG
RNAcentral lists this ribosomal RNA (465 nucleotides) under uncultured bacterium. RNAcentral's name for it is "partial 16S ribosomal RNA". It matches the Rfam family "Bacterial small subunit ribosomal RNA", at positions 28 to 507 of the family's 1533-position model. The record is from RNAcentral.